Molecule: long non-coding RNA, 180 nt
Organism: Ochotona curzoniae (black-lipped pika)
Lineage: Eukaryota; Metazoa; Chordata; Mammalia; Lagomorpha; Ochotonidae
Exons: 3
Source: RefSeq, a predicted model, not a curated record
CGAGCUUGGACACUACUGAUAGGGCUUGCGACCCUGACUCCUCCUGACUUAGUAAAGCAGCAUUUUCUUGUCACUCAGGGGCCUAACACAGUCUAACACUCCUUGACAGUGUAUUGCUACCCCCAAGCAGUGCUCUGUGUACUUUGUCUAAAGUCGCUCAUUUCAUCCUUAUGACUACUC